CCCAGUCUUCCAGGCCCUAGAGGGCGCGUUCCAGUUCCGCCUCCGCUGCGGCGUUCCGGUAGUUAGCCAGGUUGCUACCAAACACAACAGCAAAAAAAGUAACUUAAGUGCUUUAAACGUCGCCUGAAAUCCGUGACACUGCCUUUUCCCACCUCGGCAGCGAUUUAUAAACCAUAACAAGCCCUAUAGAUAGAAAAUAUCAACUUUUGUGAAGGAAAAAGUUGCAUGGAGUGCUGCAUUACCAACUGGACUUGGUAGCCUGCCACCUUGGACUCCGAAGACCAAGAUUGCUCCUUCAGUCUUGGAACUUUUUAAGAAAAUCGUUGACUGCUGGACCGACAGCUGACAUCCAGUUGCGCCUCGCUGAUAUCAAUCCUGACCUCCUUUGAAGAGUCUCGGAUUGCAAUUACAUUUG
This is a long non-coding RNA of Pygocentrus nattereri (red-bellied piranha), 415 nucleotides long. The record is from Ensembl. Lineage: Eukaryota; Metazoa; Chordata; Actinopteri; Characiformes; Serrasalmidae.